This 495-nucleotide ribosomal RNA is filed under the name uncultured bacterium. RNAcentral's name for it is "partial 16S ribosomal RNA". It matches the Rfam family "Bacterial small subunit ribosomal RNA", at positions 28 to 507 of the family's 1533-position model. The record is from RNAcentral.
GACGAACGCUGGCGGCGUGCCUAAUACAUGCAAGUAGAACGCUGAAGGAGGAGCUUGCUUCUCUGGAUGAGUUGCGAACGGGUGAGUAACGCGUAGGUAACCUGCCUGGUAGCGGGGGAUAACUAUUGGAAACGAUAGCUAAUACCGCAUAAGAGUAGAUGUUGCAUGACAUUUGCUUAAAAGGUGCAAUUGCAUCACUACCAGAUGGACCUGCGUUGUAUUAGCUAGUUGGUGAGGUAACGGCUCACCAAGGCGACGAUACAUAGCCGACCUGAGAGGGGGAUCGGCCACACUGGGACUGAGACACGGCCCAGACUCCUACGGGAGGCAGCAGUAGGGAAACUUCGGCAAUGGACGGAAGUCUGACCGAGCAACGCCGCGUGAGUGAAGAAGGGUGUCGGAUCGUAAAGCUCUGUUGUAAGAGAAGAACGAGUGUGAGAGUGGAAAGUUCACACUGUGACGGUAUCUUACCAGAAAGGGACGGCUAACUACGUG